UACAGAGGGUGCGAGCGUUAAUCGGAAUUACUGGGCGUAAAGCGUGCGUAGGCGGUCGUGUAAGUCGGGUGUGAAAGCCCCGGGCUCAACCUGGGAAUUGCAUUCGAGACUGCACGGCUGGAGUGCGGAAGAGGGAAGCGGAAUUUCCGGUGUAGCGGUGAAAUGCGUAGAUAUCGGAAGGAACAUCAGUGGCGAAAGCGGCUUCCUGGUCCAGCACUGACGCUCAGGCACGAAAGCGUGGGGAGCAAACAGG
Molecule: ribosomal RNA, 253 nt
Filed under: uncultured bacterium
Lineage: Bacteria
Description: partial 16S ribosomal RNA
Rfam family: Bacterial small subunit ribosomal RNA
Source: RNAcentral